ACCUACGGGACGCAGCAGUGGGGAAUAUUGCACAAUGGGGGAAACCCUGAUGCAGCGACGCCGCGUGAGUGAAGAAGUAUCUCGGUACGUAAAGCUCUAUCAGCAGGGAAGAAAAAAAGUCUUUGGCUUUGGACGGUACCUGACUAAGAAGCCCCGGCUAACUACGUGCCAGCAGCCGCGGUAAUACGUAGGGGGCAAGCGUUAUCCGGAAUCACUGGGUGUAAAGGGAGCGUAGACGGCUGUGCAAGCCUGAAGUGAAAGGCGGGGGCCCAACCCCCGGACUGCUUUGGGAACUGUACGGCUGG
Molecule: ribosomal RNA, 305 nt
Filed under: uncultured bacterium
Lineage: Bacteria
Description: partial 16S ribosomal RNA
Rfam family: Bacterial small subunit ribosomal RNA
Source: RNAcentral